Molecule: ribosomal RNA, 252 nt
Filed under: uncultured bacterium
Lineage: Bacteria
Description: partial 16S ribosomal RNA
Rfam family: Bacterial small subunit ribosomal RNA
Source: RNAcentral
UACGGAGGCGCUAGCGUUGUUCGGAAUCACUGGGCGUAAAGCGCGUGUAGGCGGCCGAGCAAGUCGGUUGUGAAAUCCCGAGGCUCAACCUCGGAACUGCAUUCGAAACUGCUCGGCUCGAGUCCCGGAGAGGAUGGCGGAAUUCCCGGUGUAGGGGUGAAAUCCGUAGAUAUCGGGAGGAACACCAGUGGCGAAGGCGGCCAUCUGGACGGUGACUGACGCUGAGACGCGAAAGCGUGGGGAGCAAACAGG